GACGAACGCUGGCGGCGUGCUUAACACAUGCAAGUCGAGCGGGGUCCAGCCUGUCGCAAGACAGAGGAAGACCUAGCGGCGAACGGGUGAGUAACACGUGAGGAACCUGCCCCGAAGACUGGGAUAACACCGGGAAACCGGUGCUAAUACCGGAUACCCACGAGAGACCGCAUGAUCUCUCGUGGAAAUGAAUUUCGCUUCGGGAGGGCCUCGCGGCCUAUCAGCUUGUUGGCGGGGUAACGGCCCACCAAGGCUA
This 256-nucleotide ribosomal RNA is filed under the name uncultured Actinomycetes bacterium. RNAcentral's name for it is "uncultured actinobacterium partial 16S ribosomal RNA". It matches the Rfam family "Bacterial small subunit ribosomal RNA", at positions 28 to 276 of the family's 1533-position model. The record is from RNAcentral. Lineage: Bacteria; Bacillati; Actinomycetota; Actinomycetes.